AGCGAACGUUAGCGGCGGGCCUAACACAUGCAAGUCGAACGCGAAAGGUCUUCGGACUGAGUAGAGUGGCGCACGGGUGAGUAACACGUAGGUAAUCUACCCUUUGGCGGGGGAUAACGUUCCGAAAGGAGCGCUAAUACCGCAUAAGACCACGGAGUCUCCGGACGCUGUGGGAAAAGGUGGCCUCUUCUUGAAAGCUACCACCGAAGGAUGAGCCUGCGUCCCAUCAGCUAGUUGGUAAGGUAAUGGCUUACCAAGGCGAAGACGGGUAGCUGGUUUGAGAGAAUGAUCAGCCACACUGGCACUGGAACACGGGCCAGACUCCUACGGGAGGCAGCAGUGAGGAAUAUUGGGCAAUGGGCGAAAGCCUGACCCAGCUACGCCGCGUGAGUGAUGAAGGCCCUCGGGUCGUAAAGCUCUGUGGAGAGGGACGAAAACCCUGGUUUCAAAUAGGCUCCAGGCUUGACGGUACCUCUUUAGCAAGCACCGGCUAACUCUGUGCCAGCAG
This 508-nucleotide ribosomal RNA is filed under the name uncultured bacterium. RNAcentral describes it as "bacterial SSU rRNA". It matches the Rfam family "Bacterial small subunit ribosomal RNA", at positions 29 to 514 of the family's 1533-position model. The record is from RNAcentral.